RNAcentral lists this ribosomal RNA (490 nucleotides) under uncultured bacterium. RNAcentral describes it as "partial 16S ribosomal RNA". It matches the Rfam family "Bacterial small subunit ribosomal RNA", at positions 28 to 507 of the family's 1533-position model. The record is from RNAcentral.
GAUGAACGCUAGCUACAGGCUUAACACAUGCAAGUCGCGGGGCAGCAUGGGGGUUGCUUGCAAUCCCCGAUGGCGACCGGCGCACGGGUGAGUAACGCGUAUCCAACCUGCCCUUCACCACGGGAUAACCCGGCGAAAGUCGGACUAAUACCGUAUGUUGUCCAUUGACGGCAUCCGAUUUGGACGAAAGGUUUGGCGGUGAAGGAUGGGGAUGCGUCCGAUUAGCUGGACGGCGGGGUGACGGCCCACCGUGGCGACGAUCGGUAGGGGUUCUGAGAGGAAGGUCCCCCACACUGGAACUGAGACACGGUCCAGACGCCUACGGGAGGCAGCAGUGAGGAAUAGUGGUCAAUGGGCGUAAGCCUGAACCAGCCAAGUAGCGUGCAGGAUGACGGCCCUAUGGGUUGUAAACUGCCUUUAUGCGGGGAUAAAGUGGCCCACGUGUGGGUUUUUGCAGGUACCGCAUGAAUAAGGACCGGCUAAUUCCGUG